Molecule: ribosomal RNA, 425 nt
Filed under: uncultured bacterium
Lineage: Bacteria
Description: partial 16S ribosomal RNA
Rfam family: Bacterial small subunit ribosomal RNA
Source: RNAcentral
GUGGGGAAUCUUGCGCAAUGGGCGAAAGCCUGACGCAGCCAUGCCGCGUGAAUGAUGAAGGUCUUAGGAUUGUAAAAUUCUUUCACCGGGGACGAUAAUGACGGUACCCGGAGAAGAAGCUCCGGCUAACUUCGUGCCAGCAGCCGCGGUAAUACGAAGGGGGCUAGCGUUGCUCGGAAUUACUGGGCGUAAAGGGCGCGUAGGCGGACAGCUUAGUCAGAGGUGAAAGCCCAGGUCUCAACCUUGGAAUUGCCUUUGAUACUGGCUGUCUUGAGUUUGGGAGAGGUGAGCGGAACUCCGGGUGUAGAGGUGAAAUUCGUAGAUAUUCGGAAGAACACCAGUGGCGAAGGCGACUCACUGGCCCAAUACUGACGCUGAGGCGCGAAAGCGUGGGGAGCAAACAGGAUUAGAAACCCUAGUAGUCC